AGGGGGAUAACAUCCGGAAACGGGUGCUAAUACCGCAUAGUUUUCUUGAUCGCAUGAUUGAGAAAGGAAAGACGGCCUUUGUGCUGUCGCUUAUGGAUGGACCCGCGGCGUAUUAGUUAGUUGGUGAGUAACGGCUCACCAGACGAUGAUACGUAGCCGACCUGAGAGGGUGAUCGGCCACAUUGGGACUGAGACACGGCCCAAACUCCUACGGGAGGCAGCAGUAGGGAAUCUUCCGCAAUGGACGAAAGUCUGACGGAGCAACGCCGCGUGAGUGAAGAAAAGGUUUUCGGAUCGUAAAACUCUGUUGUCAGAGAAGAACAAGUUGGAGAGUAACUGCUCCAGCCUUGACGGUAUCUGACCAGAAAGCCACGGCUAACUACGUGCCAGCCGCAGC
This 397-nucleotide ribosomal RNA is filed under the name uncultured bacterium. RNAcentral describes it as "bacterial SSU rRNA". It matches the Rfam family "Bacterial small subunit ribosomal RNA", at positions 137 to 518 of the family's 1533-position model. The record is from RNAcentral.